Molecule: ribosomal RNA, 460 nt
Filed under: uncultured bacterium
Lineage: Bacteria
Description: partial 16S ribosomal RNA
Rfam family: Bacterial small subunit ribosomal RNA
Source: RNAcentral
CCUACGGGUGGCAGCAGUGAGGAAUAUUGGUCAAUGGGCGCUAGCCUGAACCAGCCAAGUCGCGUGAAGGAUGACUGCCCUAUGGGUUGUAAACUUCUUUUAUAGGGGAAUAAAGUGCGGUACGUGUACCGUUUUGCAUGUACCUUAUGAAUAAGGAUCGGCUAACUCCGUGCCAGCAGCCGCGGUAAUACGGAGGAUCCGAGCGUUAUCCGGAUUUAUUGGGUUUAAAGGGUGCGUAGGUGGGUUGUUAAGUCAGUUGUGAAAGUUUGCGGCUCAACCGUAAAAUUGCAGUUGAUACUGGCAGCCUUGAGUACAGUAGAGGUAGGCGGAAUUCGUGGUGUAGCGGUGAAAUGCGUAGAUAUCACGAAGAACUCCGAUUGCGAAGGCAGCCUGCUGGACUGUGACUGACGCUGAUGCUCGAAAGUGUGGGUAUCAAACAGGAUUAGAUACCCCAGUAGUC